Clupea harengus (Atlantic herring) is the source of this 647-nucleotide long non-coding RNA. The record is from Ensembl. NCBI's taxonomy places the organism in Eukaryota, Metazoa, Chordata, Actinopteri, Clupeiformes, Clupeidae.
AUCGCGGAGUGAUUUAUUAUUAGCUGUGAAAAGUCCGAGUUGGGAUGUCCUGGGAUAUUCCAACUCAUGGAACGUCUCUCGUCCAAUCAGAAACAGCUAAAUAAUUUGAUAGAACCCAAUUGUUUUAUAAUGGACACUAAUGAGACUUACACCACCUAAUUACAUCUCUGCUGUGAUUCGGCCAGACUUACACCACCUAAUUACAUCUCUGCUGUGAUUGGACGAGACUUACACCACCUAAUUACAUCUGUGCUGUGAUUGGACGACUGAGACUUACACCACCUAAUUACAUCUCUGGGCUGGUCUGUAGAAUGUUGAGGUGGUCUGUAGAAUGUUGAGGUGGUCUGUAGUAGACUGAUGUGGUCUGUAGAAUGUUGAGGUGGUCUGUAGAAUGUUGUGGUGGUCUGUAGUAGGCUGAGGUGGUCUGUAGAAUGUUGAGGUGGUCUGUAGAAUGUUGAGGUGGUCUGUAGUACACUGAGGUGGUCUGUAGAAUGUUGAGGUGGUCUGUAGAAUGUUGUGGUGGUCUGUAGUGGGCUGAGGUGGUCUGUAGUGGUCUGUGGUGGUCUGUGGGGCUGAAUAGAGUGGCAUGUUGCACAGGUUACAGUUUUUCUCGAUUGCUUUGGCACAUUUUUCCAUUCACUGUUUAC